AUGGAGCACACAGAUAUCAUUUCAUCUCUUAAACCAGGACACUCCCAUUCAGCUAUUGGCACAUCUUCCAGGUUCCAAAUUGUACUGUCAUUUUUUUGUUUGUUUGUUGCUAAUGAUUUUUUAAAAUAUAUUGUGAACAUCAACUGGAAUAUCCCUCGAAAAUAACAUGGAUAAAAGAAAUGUUAAAUUAUAUAGCUUUGUGCCAACAAAGAGGUAAUAUGCAAGUCUUAGAUUUGUAUGCCAAAUAGGUUAAAAUGUUGAAUUCCUUUUUGCUUCAUUGUAAAAAAGUUAUGGUAAUAUGGCCAAAUAUAAUUAAUACCCUACAUUAACAUAGAAGAAAUUAAACCAGGCUGAAGAAACAGAAAGUUAGAAACUGUCCAAAUAUGAUACUGUGAUAUCUGAUGGGCUUGUUGAAAUUUACCUUGGGAUACUUGGGAAGAUGCAGUGGUUUGGUUAACCUAAAAGCUAUUUACUGUUACUUCAAGAAAAUGAUGAGGAGAGCUGAAGAAUCAAAAGAAAGAAGCACAUUGGAAAAGCACAGACAUAGUGCUUAACCUUAAAAAGUGGCAAGUUGUUGAUCCAUAUUCUUAAAUUUUAUUUCCCCCAAAAGCAGAAGAAAUAAUUUAGAGAUAUCUAGAAGGCAACAGACAUAUGCAAAGGACAAAUCAUUUCUACAUAACUUAUUUCUUUUUAUACGAGGGCUUUGUGGGUAGGAUAGAACAAUAGUGUAUUGACUUAUAUUGACAUAUAUUGACUUACCUGGUCGUAUACAUAUUCCUUAUAUACCUAGUAAUGUUUUUGAAACUAUCUCACAUGAUGCCAUAAGCAUGUUAGAGGAACAUGGCUAAUUUGAAGUUAUUAUCGAAUGGAUAUAAAUUUGAAAAAUAAGCUCAAAAUAGUUACACUUUUUUUCUGUCUAAUGGGGAGGACACAGAAGGUGGAUUCUGGGAUUCUGAUACCAACCAAUAUGGCAUGAAAGUUUUUAAUGAUUUAAUAGAAAAUAUGCAUAUUAAAUCUUCAGGUGACAGUAAGCCCAUGUAGGCCUAGUGGAAGACAGGACUGGAAUUCAGAAUG
Molecule: long non-coding RNA, 1074 nt
Filed under: Dromaius novaehollandiae (emu)
Lineage: Eukaryota; Metazoa; Chordata; Aves; Casuariiformes; Dromaiidae
Description: lncRNA (ENSDNVG00000017656.1)
Source: RNAcentral